This 76-nucleotide transfer RNA is filed under the name Chloroflexota bacterium. RNAcentral's name for it is "tRNA-Ala". It matches the Rfam family "tRNA". Rfam says of the family: Transfer RNA (tRNA) molecules are approximately 80 nucleotides in length. Their secondary structure includes four short double-helical elements and three loops (D, anti-codon, and T loops). The record is from RNAcentral. Lineage: Bacteria; Bacillati; Chloroflexota.
GGGGCUGUAGCUCAGCUGGGAGAGCGCCUGAAUGGCAUUCAGGAGGUCAGGGGUUCAAGUCCCCUCAGCUCCACCA